RNAcentral lists this ribosomal RNA (439 nucleotides) under uncultured bacterium. RNAcentral describes it as "partial 16S ribosomal RNA". It matches the Rfam family "Bacterial small subunit ribosomal RNA", at positions 339 to 795 of the family's 1533-position model. The record is from RNAcentral.
CUACGGGGCGCUGCAGUGAGGAAUAUUGCACAAUGGGGGGAACCCUGAUGCAGCAACGCCGCGUGGAGGAUGACGCAUUUCGGUGUGUAAACUCCUUUUAUAUGUCAAGAAAAUGACGGUAGCAUAUGAAUAAGCACCGGCUAACUCCGUGCCAGCAGCCGCGGUAAUACGGAGGGUGCAAGCGUUACUCGGAAUCACUGGGCGUAAAGGACGCGUAGGCGGGUUGGAAAGUCAGGUGUGAAAUCCUACAGCUUAACUGUAGAACUGCACUUGAAACUUCUAAUAUAGAGUAUGGGAGGGGGAGAUGGGAUUAGUGGUGUAGGGGUAAAAUCCGUAGAUAUCACUAGGAAUACCUAAAGCGAAGGCGAUCUCCUGGAACAUUACUGACGCUAAGGCGUGAAAGCGUGGGGAGCAAACGGGAUUAGAUACCCCCGUAGUC